GACGAACGCUGGCGGCGUGCUUAACACAUGCAAGUCGAACGGAAAGGCCCUGCUUUUGUGGGGUGCUCGAGUGGCGAACGGGUGAGUAACACGUGAGUAACUUGCCCUUGACUUUGGGAUAACUUCAGGAAACUGGGGCUAAUACCGGAUAGGAGCUCCUGCUGCAUGGUGGGGGUUGGAAAGUUUCGGCGGUUGGGGAUGGACUCGCGGCUUAUCAGCUUGUUGGUGGGGUAGUGGCUUACCAAGGCUUUGACGGGUAGCCGGCCUGAGAGGGUGACCGGCCACAUUGGGACUGAGAUACGGCCCAGACUCCUACGGGAGGCAGCAGUGGGGAAUAUUGCACAAUGGGCGGAAGCCUGAUGCAGCAACGCCGCGUGCGGGAUGACGGCCUUCGGGUUUUAAACCGCUUUCGCCUGUGACGAAGCGUGAGUGACGGUAAUGGGUAAAGAAGCACCGGCUAACUACGUG
Molecule: ribosomal RNA, 468 nt
Filed under: uncultured bacterium
Lineage: Bacteria
Description: partial 16S ribosomal RNA
Rfam family: Bacterial small subunit ribosomal RNA
Source: RNAcentral